This 407-nucleotide ribosomal RNA is filed under the name uncultured bacterium. RNAcentral's name for it is "partial 16S ribosomal RNA". It matches the Rfam family "Bacterial small subunit ribosomal RNA", at positions 28 to 526 of the family's 1533-position model. The record is from RNAcentral.
GACGAACGCUGGCGGCGUGCCUAAUACAUGCAAGUAGAACGCAGUUGCGAACGGGUGAGUAACGCGUAGGUAACUGCCUCAUAGCGGGGGAUAACUAUUGGAAACGAUAGCUAAUACCGCAUACUGUGAGAUGGACCUGCGUUGUAUUAGCUAGUUGGUGAGGUAAAGGCUCAACAAGGCGACGAUACAUCGCCGACCUGAGAUGGUGAUCGGGCACACUAGGACUAAGACACGGCCCAGAGGCCGACGGGAGGCAGCAGUAAGGAGACGAAGGCAAUGAACGGAAGUCUGACCGAGCAACGCCGGGGUAGUGAAGAAGAUUUUCGGAUCGUAAAGCUCUGUUGUUAGAGAAACGAAAACUAACCAGAAAGGGACGACUAACUACGUGACAGCAGCCGCGGAAAUAC